GUGCUUGCUCUGCAGCACAUAUACUAAAAUUGGAAUGAUAGAGAAGAUUAGCAUGGUCCCUGCACAAGCAUGACACACAAAUUCAGAAGCAUUACACCUUCUU
Rhinolophus ferrumequinum (greater horseshoe bat) is the source of this 103-nucleotide small nuclear RNA. Lineage: Eukaryota; Metazoa; Chordata; Mammalia; Chiroptera; Rhinolophidae. The record is from Ensembl.